GCGUGCGGGAAGAAGGCCUUCGGGUUGUAAACCGCUUUUGUCAGGGAAGAAAUCUUCUGAGUUAAUACCUCGGGAGGAUGACGGUACCUGAAGAAUAAGCACCGGCUAACUACGUGCCAGCAGCCGCGGUAAUACGUAGGGUGCAAGCGUUAAUCGGAAUUACUGGGCGUAAAGCGUGCGCAGGCGGUUAUGCAAGACAGAUGUGAAAUCCCCGGGCUCAACCUGGGAACUGCAUUUGUGACUGCAUAGCUGGAGUGCGGCAGAGGGGGAUGGAAUUCCGCGUGUAGCAGUGAAAUGCGU
This 300-nucleotide ribosomal RNA is filed under the name uncultured bacterium. RNAcentral's name for it is "bacterial SSU rRNA". It matches the Rfam family "Bacterial small subunit ribosomal RNA", at positions 399 to 691 of the family's 1533-position model. The record is from RNAcentral.